Molecule: non-coding RNA, 1798 nt
Organism: Zootoca vivipara (common lizard)
Lineage: Eukaryota; Metazoa; Chordata; Lepidosauria; Squamata; Lacertidae
Source: RefSeq, a predicted model, not a curated record
UGCUUCAACAGCAAAGUGUUUGGUUCUGCUUUCGGAUUCCGUUAUGAGCUGCAUAGAUCCCUCAUUGGUCUGAGAGGCGGCCCAGUGCUUUUGGCCUGCCAGCCUUCGCAGAAGCUUCGCCUUCUCCCUUUCUGAGCAAUUCAAGUCCCUUCAUUUAAAUUUCAAUGGAAACUUUAGUGUUUUCAGCCCUGGCCAGUCUGCAGCUGAACGGCUCCUCUCUGGAUCUUGUUUCCAGGUCUCGAGAGGACUGGGUUUGAUCACCUCGUCUGAUUACAUCUUUGACAGCUUUAAAGGAGUUUGCAGAAGGGGAAAGGAGAACAGCAGUGGCUCCCGUGAAGGUUUGGGAGCCAGGAUUCCCAAGUUUCGAUGCACCUGCCGGAGACUUCAGAGUACACCUUGCCCUGCAAGGAACAGGUCUGCUUGAGAGCAUCUCCGUGACCAUGGGGCAGUGGCUGUGAGGAAGCUGCAUGUUUUUGAGGACAUAAGUGCCCAGAAGCCAUGAGCCAGCAAAGUUCCCAAGACUUUCAGAAGUUCCGCAGAUGUCCAUUUUUUGCAGCAUGAAGGCAUUCCUGCAGAUUCUCCAAUGCACUGUGAAGGAAAGACUCACUACACCAAAAGCCCUCCUUCCAUAUUGAGGAAAAGAUCAUCCGUGAACAAAGCUCUCAGUCAGAAGCAAAAAGUAGGGAGAAGAGUUCGUUUCCAGGAACCAGAAGAAAUUAUUGGGCGUGCUCAUGAACAAACACUCUGUGAGACAUUUCCUGCUGUGACUACAUAGUUGCGCACAAGAGGCCUGCAAGCGUACUGCCUUUGUUCCUGGGAAUUUUCCUUUGUGCGCUCCUGCUUUUGGCUUUAAGUCUCUACUACGGCAGCGUGAGGCGAGAUUUCAAAGUCUUGGAAGAGUUUCACACCCAGCUUGUUAUCGCCGUCCUUCAGAUCAGGCACGUUGCUGUGAAAUGUUGGGCCUGGUUUAUGAGGCUGUAGGAAAGCCUCCCACAGGGAGCCAUGCAGGGCUGGGAGCAAUGGCUCGCUUCCUCUGGGAUGCCGUCCCAAUGUGUCUGAGAGAGUAAAAGAGCCUCUUUAUUUAAGAAAAAAAUCAAACGGGAAAUGAAGCAGCUGUCUUCUUGCAAAAUUACGACGCUACCCACGGCGGGCAUUUUUUCCUUUCUUAUCGGCGUCAUUUGGGUUCUGCAUUUCUUUUCAUAAUGCCAUUAUCGUCUCCUAGCAAUCUCAAUUGCAAUUAGAGGCCCAUUGUGUAAGAGCCUUGAAGCAUUGAUAAUAUUCUUUAUUUCCAACCUGGGGAUGUGUGGGAGCUGCAAACAGGAUUUCAAAGUAUUGCCAAUCAAACGUCUUAAAAUAAUAAUAAUAAUAAUAAUAAUAAUAAUAAUAAUAAUAAUAAUAAUAAACCCAUGAGCUAGACCAUACAAAGGACUAGUCUUCAAAAAUGACUUAUUUUUAAAUGAUAAAUGUUGGGUGUUGCUUACAGAGGAAUGUGUGGACAGACAGGGUGUAUAACCUUAUCAAAACUUGCUUCCUUUGAAAUUCCCCAGCAGUUUCUUCAGGAGGGAGCCUUUGAAUUCAACUCAAAUUUUGGCUUGGAUGAAACUGAGAGUAGCUGUGAGCCACAGGAUGGGGGCUUUCUGAUGUUGACAAGAAAGGAAGUUCAGCCUCAUGAAAGCACUCCCUUGGAUGAACAGGUUCCUCCUCCAACAUAUUGACUUCGAGUUUUAUUGUUGUUUUAGCCCAGACAUCCCCAAGUGCAGCCCUCCAGAUGUUUUAGCCUACAACUCCCAUGAUCCCU